GGCAGACGUGAGCUGAGGGCGCAGAGGCAGGCAGGUGAGAGCGGGAGCUGGAGCAGCAGCUGGGGAGGCAGCGGGAGGGGCCUUCCCGGUCCCCAGGCUGUGGGGCAGGCCAGAGGCCCUGGGACCCACGGGCAGGCAUCUCUGAGGGUCCCCAAGGAACAUGGCUGGGAGCCGUGAGGUGGUGGCCAUGGACUGCGAGAUGGUGGGGCUGGGGCCCCACCGGGAGAGUGGCCUGGCUCGUUGCAGCCUCGUGAAUGUCCAUGGUGCUGUGCUGUACGACAAGUUCAUCCGGCCUGAGGGAGAGAUCACCGAUUACAGAACCCGGGUCAGCGGGGUCACCCCUCAGCACAUGGUGGGGGCCACACCAUUUGCGGUGGCCAGGCUAGAGGUCCCCUUCCCAUCCUCUCCAAAGGCAGCUGAGUGAAAGCAAGCUGACUGGCCUGUGUGACCAGAGCAGGGCAGGCUGUCCGUGUGGGAGGCGAGGCAAGGAACGUGGGGCUGGGGCACUCACAGCUGGGCGCCUGGGCUGCUCUUCUGGCUCAGUGUGGCAGUGGCAGGCGGGCUCUGGAUUCGGCCCACUGGCUUCAAGGCCUGGCUCUGCCACUAACUAGCCGUGUGACUGUCCCAAUUAUCAAAUGGUGCUUGGCAAAUUACACCAAAACUUACCAGUUCAAACAAUGUCAAUACUUAUUUCGCUCGGCCACCUGCAAUUUGGGCAGGUGCUCUGCAGCAGGACAGGCUGUCAGUUAAGGCACCUUGAAGGCUGGAGGCCAGAACCAUUGGAAGGUUUGCUCACCCACCUGUCUGGUGGCUGGUGCUGGCCUGCCUUGGCCACAUCAGUAUCUCGGUGGCUCUUCCCCGUGCUCUCUCCAGCAUGGUGGCUUUGGGGUGGCCAGACUUUUAUUUAUUUAUUUAUUUAUUUAUUGAGAUGGAGUCACGCUCUGUCACCCAAGCUGGAGUGCAGUGGCACGAUCUCAGCUCACUGCAGUCUCCCUCCCAGGCUCAAGCAAUUCUCCUGCCUCAGCCUCCUGAGUGACUGGGACUAGCCACAGCACAUGGGUAAUUUUUGCAUUUUUAGUAGAGACGGGGUCUCACCAUGUUGGCCAGGCUGGCCUCAAACUCCUGGCCUCAGGUGAUCCACCUGCCUCAGCCUCCCAAAGUGCUGGGAUUACAGACGUGAGACACCGUGCCUGGCUGGUGGCCGGACUUCUUAUAGAAUUGCGGUCCCAGACAGAAGUCAGAAGUCAUACAGCCCAGCCCAUAUGCAAUGGGAGGGGAGUUUGAUUCCAUCUUUUUUAAGAAGAGUGUCAAGGAAUUUGCAAACUUGUUUUAAAAUCAUCAGAGUAAGCCUGGGCAUGUUACUCCUCUGCAUUUCAGAUAUUUCCUUUGUAAAACUCGGUUAAAUGCAGCGCUCCCUCCUCACUGUUAGUUUUCUGUGGCUGCCGUAAGGAAGCCAUCAACUUAGUGAUUCACAGCAACACAGAUGUAUUCUCUUACAGUUCUGUAGUUUCAAAGUUCAGCGUGGGUCUCACUGGUCUAAAAUCAAAGUGUCAGUGGCGCUAGGUUCCUUCUGGAUGCUCUGGGGAAGAAUCCAUUUCCUUGCCCUUUCUGGCUUCUAGAGGCUGCCUGAAUAUCUUGACUCACGGCCCCUCCCUCCAUCUUCAAAGCCAGCAACAGCCUGUUUUCCUCACGUGGAUUCACUCUGACCUCCACAUGUAAGGAGCCUUGUGAUUAUAUUGGGCCCACAUGGGUAGGCCAGGCGAUCUCCCCGUUUGAAGGUUGACUGAUUAGCAAUCUAAAUUCUGCCCGGAACUUUAAUUCCUCUUUGCCAGGUAAUGUAUUCACAGAUCCUGGGGACUAGGGUGUGGACAUCUUUGGGAGGUCAUUGUUCUGCCUGCUAUAAUAGAAUUGUUGGGAAGAUUAAACAACAUAAUAUACAUAACGUAAGUUGAGGCACGCUUGGCACCUGGGAAAUACUCAGGAUGUACUAACCAUUGCUCCUACACAGUUCAGCUCCUGAAGGAGUCCAGGUGGGCUUUUGGCACAGAAUGAAACUAUCAAGUGUGAGGAGGGACCUAGUCCAAUCUCUCUUCUUUUCAAAGAUGAUAUAUUUGAAGCCCAGGGAGGGAUGAUAAUAUGCCCAAGGUCACACAGCCAGUCAAGGAGGGGUUGCUCCCUUGCCAGCCCCAGACCCGCCCAGAAGAUGCUGUGUCAUGUAGGGGUGGGCACAUGUCUUCCUGGCCAGAUCCUGCAGCUCCUGAAAGGCAAGCUGGUGGUGGGUCAUGACCUGAAGCACGACUUCCAGGCACUGAAAGAGGACAUGAGCGGCUACACAAUCUAUGACACGUCCACCGACAUGCUGUUGUGGCGUGAGGCCAAGCUGGACCACUGCAGGCGUGUCUCCCUGCGGGUGCUGAGUGAGCGCCUCCUGCACAAGAGCAUCCAGAACAGCCUGCUUGGACACAGCUCGGUGGAAGAUGCGAGGGCAACGAUGGAGCUCUACCAAAUCUCCCAGAGAAUCCGAGCCCGCCGAGGGCUGCCCCGCCUGGCUGUGUCAGACUGAAGCCCCGUCCAGCCCGUUCCCCAGGGACUAGAGGCUUUCGGCUUUUUGGGACAGCAACUACCUUGCUUUUGGAAAAUACGUUUUUAAUAGUAAAGUGGCUCUAUAUUUUCUCUACGC
Molecule: small RNA, 2680 nt
Filed under: Pongo abelii (Sumatran orangutan)
Lineage: Eukaryota; Metazoa; Chordata; Mammalia; Primates; Hominidae
Description: retained intron
Source: RNAcentral